RNAcentral lists this ribosomal RNA (1341 nucleotides) under Actinomycetes bacterium. Its description in RNAcentral is "Actinobacteria bacterium partial 16S ribosomal RNA". It matches the Rfam family "Bacterial small subunit ribosomal RNA". Lineage: Bacteria; Bacillati; Actinomycetota; Actinomycetes. The record is from RNAcentral.
UGAGUCAACAUGAGCCUAGCUCUUUAGGUGGAUUAGUGGCGAACGGGUGAGUAAUACGUGAGUAACCUACCUUUAACUCUGGGAUAAGCCUGGGAAACUGGGUCUAAUACCGGAUGACCAAUCUCCGCAUGGUGUUGGAAAGUUAUGUAGAUAGAUGGGCUCCGCCUAUGGCUUGUUGGUGGAGGUAACGGCUCACCAAAGGGCGAACGACGCCGCCUGAGAGGGACUGAGACACGGCCCAGACUCCUACGGGAGGCAGCAGUGGGGAAUAUUGCACAAUGGGCGCAAGCCUGAUGCAGCGACGCCGCGUGAGGGAUGACGGCCUUCGGGUUGUAAACCUCUGUUAGCAGGGAAGAAGAGAGAUUGACGGUACCUGCAGAGAAAGCGCCGGCUAACUACGUGCCAGCAGCCGCGGUAAUACGUAGGGCGCGAGCGUUGUCCGGAAUUAUUGGGCGUAAAGAGCUUGUAGGCGGUUUGUCGCGUCUGCUGUGAAAGGCCGGAGCUUAACUCCGUGUAUUGCAGUGGGUACGGGCAGACUAGAGUGCAGUAGGGGAGACUGGAAUUCCUGGUGUAGCGGUGGAAUGCGCAGAUAUCAGGAGGAACACCGAUGGCGAAGGCAGGUCUCUGGGCUGUAACUGACGCUGAGAAGCGAAAGCAUGGGGAGCGAACAGGAUUAGAUACCCUGGUAGUCCAUGCCGUAAACGUUGGGCACUAGGUGUGGGGAACAUUCCACGUUUUCCGCGCCGUAGCUAACGCAUUAAGUGCCCCGCCUGGGGAGUACGGCCGCAGGCUAAAACCCAAAGAAAUUGACGGGGGCCCGCACAAGCGGCGGAGCAGCGGUUAAUUCGCAACGCGAAAGAAUCCCUUACCAAGGCUUGACAUAUACUGGACCGCAUCAGAAGAUGGUGUUUCCCUUCGGGGCUGGUAUACAGGUGGUGCAUGGUUGUCGUCAGCUCGUGUCGUGAGAUGUUGGGUUAAGUCCCGCAUCCGGAGCGCAACCCUCGUUCUAUGUUGCCAGCGACGUUUAUGGUGGGGCACUUCAUAGGAGACUGCCACUGGGGGUCACUCGGAGAAAGGUGGGACGUAAAUCAUCUGCCCUUAUGCUUGGCUUCACCAUGCCAAUGGCGGCAGAGGGUUGAUACUGUGUGGAGCUAAUCCCUAAAAGCCGGUCUCAGUUCGGAUUGGGGUCUGCAACUCGACCCCAUGAAGUCGGAGUCGCUAGUAAUCGCAGAUCAGCAACGCCCAUGCGGUGAAUACGUUCCCGGGCCUUGUACACACCGCCCGUCAAGUCACGAAAGUUGGUAACACCCAAAGCCGGUGGCCUAACCCUUUUGGGAGGGA